Long non-coding RNA from Biomphalaria glabrata, 566 nucleotides. RefSeq lists it as uncharacterized. Lineage: Eukaryota; Metazoa; Mollusca; Gastropoda; Planorbidae. The record is from RefSeq and is a predicted model, not a curated record. The transcript has 4 exons.
GAGAAAACAACACCAAACGCUUUUUUUUUCUAUAACAUUUUACUAAAACUUAUCAGCCGUUUGUGUUGCCUUAAUGAAUUCUGAUGUAACCACGAGUAAGACGUGUGGCAGAAGAGUUUAUAAAGAGGAGGGAAUGCCUGAUGAAAGUCAGUUGGAGGGACAGUCAGAGACAGAAUAAUGUGUGUUAAGUUUUGAAGGGAGUUCAACAUCUUGUGUUUCUAAAUAUAGCAGUACUCAGAUUUAAAGCUGUAUAGAUCUAUGUUGUCAAUAAAAGUUUAUUUUUUUGUCUAAAAAUAGUGUAACUUCUAUUCAAGUGCUGGCCACCAAAAUGUCACCAAGUCAUGAAGAUAAUAGUGACAACAAAUAUAAGGACAGAAUGAAGAUUCAGAAGGCCGAUUCACGGACAUAUAACUUGUUUAUUGAAAAUACAUUAAUUCAGAUAUCUACUUUGAUUGAUUGUGACGCCAUGGUCGAGUCUCUGUAUAACUUCUAGCGUCAGUUGAGGGCCCAGCGGUGCAGCGCCACAAACAAUUCUCUGGACGGAUCCCAAAUUGUAUUGACUGACU